UACGUAGGGGGCAAGCGUUGUCCGGAUUUAUUGGGCGUAAAGAGCGUGUAGGCGGUUCGGUAGGUCCGUUGUGAAAACUCGAGCUCAACCUCGAGACGCCGAUGGAAACCCUCGAACUAGAGUCCGGAAGAGGAGAAUGGAAUUCCUGGUGUAGCGGUGAAAUGCGCAGAUAUCAGGAAGAACACCCGUGGCUAAGGCGGUUCUCUAGUACGGUACUGACGCUGAGGAGCGAAAGCGUGGGGAGCGAACAGG
Molecule: ribosomal RNA, 252 nt
Filed under: uncultured bacterium
Lineage: Bacteria
Description: partial 16S ribosomal RNA
Rfam family: Bacterial small subunit ribosomal RNA
Source: RNAcentral